This is a long non-coding RNA of Brassica napus (rape), 1307 nucleotides long. RefSeq lists it as uncharacterized. The transcript is spliced from 4 exons. The record is from RefSeq and is a predicted model, not a curated record. NCBI's taxonomy places the organism in Eukaryota, Viridiplantae, Streptophyta, Magnoliopsida, Brassicales, Brassicaceae.
CAAUCAGCUUUCUCAGAAGAAUUCCGUCUCUUUCGAUUAUCGUCUCAUCUUUUCUCCUCAAGCAAAAACGUUUUCCAGACGAUUGUCUUCUCAACUCUCGUACUUUCCUCCAUCACUCAUAAUUAUCUAUUGAUCCAACCCAUAGAAUCUCUAACAAUAGAUUAAUUCGUCUGUUUGAUUCAAUUUCAUCACCAUCCACAACCGAGACGACGACGAGGACGAGCAGGAAACUCGAGACUUGGUACCGGAAUCGUCAGAUCUAGCUCUGAACAGACUGGAGAAUCUGUUCCACCAGUGAAACUGUUCUCAGCGAGGUUAAGCCUCACGAGGUUAGUGAGACUGAACAAGCUCUCGGGUAUUUGCCGGAGAAUCUGUUUCCUUGCAGGUAGAGGUGACGGAGAUCGGAGGAGGUGGUUAGAUCGAGAGGGAGAGAGCCGGCGAGGGCGGUGAGACGGAGGCUCAGUGUUCGGAGACGAGUUAAGUUUCCGAAAACACUGUUCGGGAUGGUGCCGGAGAGAGAGACGCCGGGGAGACGGAGGGCGGUGACUCUGUUGUUGUCGCAUUUUACGCCGGCCCAGUUACACGGCGAGGUUUGUCUGAUGUCCCAGCAGAAUGUGCGGCCGCCGACGGAGGAACGGAGAGAGAGAAGAGCGGCUCUAUCGGCGUUGAGGUCUUGGGUUGAAGGGAGAGGGAGAGAGAGAGAGUAAGAGGGUUGUGAGGAGAACAGAGAGAAUCGUCAUGGAGGAGUUGGGGAAGACUCGCAUUGUGCGAUGAUUCAUAGAAGGAGAAGGAGAGAGAGAGAGAGAGAGAGAGAGACGGUAGAAGAAAGAGAAGGCUCUUUUGCAGAGCUGUGGUUAUAGAGACAGAAGUGAAAGCAUUCAACAGCCUAAUCCUAGAUGUAACAAACGCUGCUGCAGAAUGAAAAUGGAAUCAUAGUUGCUGAGAGAGUCUUAUUGUUUCUAUACGUAAUUGAUAUUAAAUUAGGUUACUGCUCCUCCAGGUAAAGCUAUUCGUUUCUUCAGAGAGCGCACCACCAACCGUCACGAGGAUCUCUAUCUCCUUCUCUGUUGCGCAGGAGACGAUCUCCGUCUCUAUUCUUCCUUUCCGAACCUGAGAAACGUGAACGGAGAUGGUACUUUUGUCAUUAUCUCAACAUAAUCUCCGGCUGCCGGAAUCUGUAUCUACGGUGUUUCGGGGUUACGCAACCGCCACAUCGAAACACGCCUGCGACCAUCUUCGCCGUCACCUCCGACUUGGCUUCCAUAUCCGCUCUUCCCUUCAGAUACUGCUGCAAGUCUAUGAUGCUC